This 253-nucleotide ribosomal RNA is filed under the name uncultured bacterium. RNAcentral's name for it is "partial 16S ribosomal RNA". It matches the Rfam family "Bacterial small subunit ribosomal RNA", at positions 524 to 776 of the family's 1533-position model. The record is from RNAcentral.
UACGAAGGGGGCUAGCGUUGCUCGGAAUGACUGGGCGUAAAGGGCGCGUAGGCGGAUUGUACAGUCAGGCGUGAAAUUCCCGGGCUCAGCCUGGGGGCUGCGCUUGAGACGUGCGAUCUUGAGUGGGGAAGAGGGUCGUGGAAUUCCCAGUGUAGAGGUGAAAUUCGUAGAUAUUGGGAAGAACACCGGUGGCGAAGGCGGCGACCUGGGCCAAUAUUGACGCUGAGGUGCGAAAGCGUGGGGAGCAAACAGG